AUUGAACGCUGGCGGCAGGCCUAACACAUGCAAGUCGAGGGACCGGCGCACGGGUGAGUAACACGUAUCCAACCUGCCCUUUACUCGGGGAUAGCCUUUCGAAAGAAAGAUUAAUACCCGAUAUAAAGGAUGGGGAUUCGUUUCAUUUGGUUGUUGGUGAGGUAACGGCCCACCAAGCCUUCGAUGGACAGGGGUUCUGUGAGGAAGGUCCCCCGCAUUGGAACUGGGACACGGUCCAAACUCCUACGGGAGGCAGCAGUUAGGAAUAUUGGUCAAUGGGCGUUAGCCUGAACCAGCCAAGUAGCGUGAAGGAUGAAGGCUUAUGGGUCGUAAACUUCUUUUAUAUAAGAAUAUGUAUUAUAUGAAUAAGGAUCGGCUAACUCCGUGCCAGCAGCCGCGGUAAUAC
Molecule: ribosomal RNA, 406 nt
Filed under: uncultured bacterium
Lineage: Bacteria
Description: partial 16S ribosomal RNA
Rfam family: Bacterial small subunit ribosomal RNA
Source: RNAcentral